AACGAACGCUGGCGGCAUGCCUAACACAUGCAAGUCGAACGAGACCUUCGGGCCUAGUGGCGCACGGGUGCGUAACGCGUGGGAACCUGCCCUUAGGUUCGGAAUAACUCCCCGAAAGGGGUCCUAAUACCGGAUAAUGUCUUCGGACCAAAGAUUUAUCGCCUUUGGAUGGGCCCGCGUUGGAUUAGCUAGUUGGUAGGGUAAAAGCCUACCAAGGCGACGAUCCAUAGCUGGUCUGAGAGGAUGAUCAGCCACACUGGGACUGAGACACGGCCCAGAAUCCUACGGGAGGCAGCAGUGGGGAAUAUUGGACAAUGGGCGAAAGUCUGAUCCAGCAAUGCCGCGUGAGUGAUGAAGGCCUUAGGGUUGUAAAGCUCUUUUACACGGGAUGAUAAUGACAGUACCGGGAGAAUAAGCUCCGGCUAACUCCGUG
This 433-nucleotide ribosomal RNA is filed under the name uncultured bacterium. Its description in RNAcentral is "partial 16S ribosomal RNA". It matches the Rfam family "Bacterial small subunit ribosomal RNA", at positions 29 to 507 of the family's 1533-position model. The record is from RNAcentral.